Falco peregrinus (peregrine falcon) is the source of this 6075-nucleotide RNA transcript. It is a transcript of the gene named Krueppel-like factor 15, with no coding region annotated. The record is from RefSeq and is a predicted model, not a curated record. The transcript is spliced from 2 exons. Lineage: Eukaryota; Metazoa; Chordata; Aves; Falconiformes; Falconidae.
GCUGCCCCAGCCCCGGAGUGGCUCGGUGGGGCGAGCUCGGCCUGGCCCGGGGGGCUUCAUCCUUUUUCCCUCCCUCCCCGGGGAUGAAGCCAGCCGCACAGCCAGGCUCGGUGCCCUCGGCCCCCGGGGGUCCCAGCCUGCUGCUGGCUCGGUGCCCCGCGCGGGUCUGGGGGAGGCAGUUGGUGCGGGCUGUGCUCACACCGCCUUGUCCUUGGCCAGGGCGAAGCGCGGGGCAUCCCUUCAUCCCCCGGGAUCCAUGUGGCACAUGGCGCCGGCGGUGUCCGGCUUCUCGAGCGCGGUGGUGGCCCAAAGGGCUUUGGCAGCCCAGGUUUUGCACGGACGCUGUGUGUGUAAUUCAGGGCCCUGAGGAGGUUACAGGAGUUUGCUCGUGGCGUUCAGUCACGAGAGGAGAGUUGGAACCCUCGGCUGCAUUCCCAGCUCCUGCUUGUUGGCUGACCUUGGGCAAAUUACUUUUUCUCCAUGCGCUCAAGCUGCGCACAUGCUGAUUUCAUACAGUAAUUCAGUGCUCUUGGGGAUCUGAAAAACUAUAGGAAUAGAAAUGCAAAGCGAACCUUGAAAACGACAUUGACCUUGUCUUGUAGCCUGCUUCACUGAAGGCCAAAGUCAGGUCUGUAUUUUCUUGCAGUAGCUUAUCUGGGAUGAUAGUGCUGCUGACGUGCAUUUUGCAAAAAUUCCAAGUUACAAGGUGCUGACACCUGUAACGGGGAUCUGUGAAGUCUGUCGGUAACCGAGCCUGCCACCAGCUCACGCGUUUCUCCUUAGCAUUGCUCUGCGAGGUAGCAUGUUACUGUUGCCCCCACUUUGAUGGGAAACUGAGGACCAGAGCACGCCAGCAACUACCCCAGGUUUGCACGAGAAGUUUGCAGUGGAGCAGACCUGAUCCGACCUCCUCAGUCCUGCUCAGAUCUCCUUAGUCCCAAGCCAGCAGCUCAACCACCGGACCUUCUUGCCCUCUGGUUGCGCUUUUCUUCCUAUUGUUAGUUCAACAAAACUGCUCACUCUGAGUUUGCAAGACACAUACUAAAUAAGGCUCCCGAGUUAAGGAGUUUAUAGUUUAAUUAAGUUGUCUUGGGGGCAUACUGAAGGGAUGGAGACUUCCUGAGCUGCUCUACAAGGAAACCUUGUUGGAAAAUCCGGUAUUAAGACUUUGUGGAAGAGGUAAACAGAAUUGUUUGGUAGCCAGAGGGGGAAGGCUUUUCGAGAGUCAGAGAAGCAGAGAUCAGAAGGAGAUCAUAAAACUGGUGUGGAGGAAGGAGUGGAACUGAGUGCUGCCUUGAAGGUGAUGGUUCAGAGCACGCACUUGUGAUGAAAACUUGAAGCCUGAAGGUUGAGGUUGGCCCAAACACCUUCCUCACCUCACGUGUGAGCUGUGAUUGUCUCUGCUCAUCAGGACUUGGUGCAGAGCCAUGCUGGAGAUGGGCUGUGGGACUCCGAGCAGUGUGGCUUCUUGCUCUUGGCAGAUUUUGAACGAUGUGGGGAUUAAUUCUUCUUAAGGGGAAGAGCCUUUAUAUCACAUCCAGGCUACUGCUCAAUAUUUCCCUUUCCUAGCUCUCAGGACCCUGAGGAGUAACAAGGACUGGCUCGACUGGUUUGCAGCUCCGCAGAGAUCUCACGGACUCACUCUGGAAAAGGUUCUUAAGGGACUUUGGCAUGGGUUUUCUUUCUCUUGGAAACUCACUUUCUGCAUUACAUGUAAGAAGAUCCUGCGUUCUUGGGUGGUUUAGGUGCUGCAGGAGCAGGAUGUAGUCCCCAAGCUGCCUCCUGGCAGGGGCAGGGACGGUGCAUGGCAGCUCGGUGGGUGCUGGGGCUCUGUGCUCACAGCCCCGUGACCCGCAGGGUUUGACGUGUUGAAUCGUGGGGAGCGCAGCCACCUUCUGGAGACCUCCCAGGUCUAACCUGGAGGUACUGCGAUCUGUUUUGAAAUGUGGGGGGGGUGUCCUCAAGGGCCCUGUGAGCUGACCCCAGACAGGCUGUCUGCGAUGCUCUCUGGAGGUGUGACGGAGCUGGGGCAGACCUGCCUGAACUGGCUCUAAACUCGCUGGUUCAGGCACCCAUCACCAGUGUAACCACUGGUGAACGCUCACCGGAGCCCCGAGCAGUUUGGCAGCUGGCACUCUCAUCCCUGUCUCGUUAUCUGUUCCCAAACUCGUUAGCUUUAAUCCAGCCAUGAUAGAUCUGCGUCAGGGUGUGGUUGUUACCAACAUUUGCAGCGUGGGGAAACCAGCACCCUCGCAGGGAUCUCAAUUAACUCCUAGUUGUAAGCCACAAGUCAUCCUCUCUGCCAUAGCAGCACAUACCUGCCCUCUGGCGUAGGUGGAAGACGGAUGAAGUGUUUCACUGUGUAUUUUUACCUUAAUAAAACUCCCCAGAGAAGUUUGCUUCUGGGGGGAAUCUAGCUCUUUGCCGCCUGUUGGCAUCCUGCGUAGGAAAAUGGUAAGCAUGUGUUUCUUGAGCAACAGACUCUUUAAAAACAAAGGCCACCGACUAGUUUUGAUGUUUUCUUUCUAAUGCACAGUCCAUUUUAUUCAAAGGUUGAGGUUUUCUUCUUUGUUUGUUGUUUGGUUGGGGUUUUUUUGAUUUGGAAAUAACCUUGGUGGUGUUCCCUUGCAGAUGAAUGAAGACUUCCCCAGCCUCAGGAGCCCCCGCUGAGCUCUUGCGGAGGCUUCUGAUCUGGCCAAGCCAGGAGCUGUGUGUGGGUAGAGUACGUGAGUCAACAAAUGGUCUCUGUGAGUUGCCAGGAGCUGCUGCCCUCCUUGACCAGCUCUUCCCUGCUAGAAAAUUUUGCCAGUGCUCUGCAUCGCAGCAUGCCGCCAUCCCUUCUGCCAGGGCACGGCAGCGAGAGGGUGUCCGGCCACCUAGAAGGCUCUGGCCACCUCCUUGCGGGCACCACUAGCCACUCUGCAGGCACCCCGCUCCCCCCAGCCGGUGCAAAGGGGGAAGACACAAAACCCCAAGCCACUGUCUGCGAGGCUCACCUCAGGCUGCCUGAUUUCUGUAGCAGCCUCUCCCAGGACUUCAUUCCCACCCUGGAGGAGAUUGAGGAGUUCCUAAGGGAGAAGGCUGAGUUCCUCAAAGAAGAAGCAAGUGAGCUUCACCCAGGUGGAGGGAAGGUCGGCAUCAACUCUGAGAUCAGCUUAGGUAGCUCUGGGGGACAGCCUGUCUCUGGUGUUGCUCAAGAAGAUGUCUCAAACGCUGCUCAGCCUGGAGGGACAACGGAUGGUAGUGACCAGGCAGUAGCUUCUGGGAGCAUUCCUGUUGUCCUCCAGAUCCAGCCUCUCCAGGUGGACAGUGGCAUCCCGCUAGCGCAGAGUGCUACAGGUGGUGUGAGGGUGGCCCAGCUGGUUAUCAGCUUGCAGGGCCAAAACCUGUCCCUCCUCCCUCAGGUCCAGCCCCCUGUAACCAUCAUGGACCAAAAGUAUGUCAAAAUCGCCCCCCUGCCGGUCACCAUGAGGCCAGGGGCACCGGGGGAUGUGCAAGAGGUGGAGGCAAACCCCAAGCAUCACAAAGCCCCCCCUUCCCUCGUCCGCAUCCACAAGUGCUCACACCCGGGCUGCGGCAAGAUGUACACCAAGAGUUCCCACCUCAAGGCUCACUUUCGUCGGCACACCGGUGAGAAACCCUACACUUGUGCUUGGCCCAACUGCGGCUGGCGGUAAGUGGGAGCCGCGGGACCGUGCGGGUGGGUGUCCCCGCCAAAGGCCUGCCGUCGCUUGCAGGAGAGCUCUUGGCUGGUGGAAAGCCAGGAUAAAAUCACGAGUUUUCUUUCCCGAGUGAGUUAUAGAUGAGAGCUGGAAGGAGGCUGAGAGGAGUAGAGUUUGUGGAGCGCUUUGGGGAGUUUUCACUCAGCCCAAAAGUGCUGAAAACCUCCAGCUGGGGGAGGCAUAGCUGACACCCUCCCCCUUGAACACCCCAAAUCCCCCCCUGAACUGGAUGCCUAAACACCCCCUAGCAAUACAGCUUUACCAAAUGAUGUUGGUUAUUUAUAUUACAACAGCGUUGGUUAUUUAAAUUUAAAUUACAACAAUUUUGCAAACUUUCUCUGUCUAGUUCAGGACAAUUUCUGCAGUUGGGCUACAAAAAAAGGCUUUUCCCAUUAAUAUUUGUCCCAGGAAAGAAGAGUUUCAGUGCUUCCUCAGGAGCCAGUGCAUAUUCUGUGUUUCUUUAGCAACCCUUUGCUUUCUCUUGCUGUUUGCCUGCCCUGGCUGCUUACAUCCCUCAGACACCUGUGCGCUUGUAGCGUAUCUCCAUGCUGCAUUUACUUUUGUUUGCUCUGCACAUGACGAUGGUUGUCAUUUUCUUUCAUCUGUCUUCUCUAAAUUAACCCUGCUUUAUAAUCUUGCUGCACUUCUCUGAUUAUUUUUCUGCUGUGGUGUUCUCUUCCUGGCACUGCGUACCUGUCCCGGCGGGGCAGGAUGCUCAGUACAGCCUUUGGCAAGAAGGGCUAAUAGUCCUCGGGUCCUGCGUAUCACUUUUCAUCAGCAGAUCUCAAAGCAUAUCACAAAGCAAACUGGUGCUGGCAGCCCUGAGCUUUCCUGGUUCCUUGUGCAAUGCUUUGGCAUACACGGCUGCCUUGUUUCCCCGGAUGGUGUGUUAUGGCUUCUGUCUCAGGCUGGUGAAAGUCUGGAAUGUAUGAGACUAGAUCUGAAUGUUGGGACUUCUUCUUGCCAAGCUGCCGUCCCUUUGCCGUCAGCAGUUGUCCUUCCAUUUCACUCACAACCGCAGUACAUGUUGGCAGCUGUUGGCUCCUUUUCCAGUACCAACCAGUACUGCUGAAUCCUCCCGGACCUGACGCUCAAAGCCUGGGGAUUGAGGAAGGGGACAAUGGCAACCACACAAUCAACACUUUUCCCUCUGGAAAGGAGGAAAGGGAUGGUGCUAGCCUGUACAAUAGCAUCCUGCAGGCUGUCCACUGAGUCACUGUGCUCUGCUCCGCUUGCUGCCCUGCCCUCCGUCUCCAUGGGAGCAGUUCUGCUGUCGAGUGAUGUACUCGGCCAUGGCUGGGGUUCUCCGAGCCUUCCUCCCUUUUCUAGAUGUGGCCCUAACUGUAAUAACAUCAUUUCUCCUGGCCCUGCUUUCUGUGAGGAGCUGAAACCUUGGAACUCGCUUCUUACAGCAAAGCUGGAAAUGAAGUCAGCGGUUUGCAUGGAAGAGCUGAGGAUGGCCUUGGGACGCGUUUUGUUUUUGCGGAGCCUUUUGUGAGCAGCCGCAGUAUUUACCAUACCAGGUGUGAGCUGGAAAUCCUAUCGCUGGGAGUCUGGGGUUACAGCUGAAGCUCCUUGCUUUGUGCUUCUUUGCGUGGGCAUGUUUCAGCCAGAUGGAAAAACCCUUCCGUCCUAAUACUCCUGCCAUCUGUGUUGGCUCCUUAGAGGCAGAACAGGAGUAAAUCCUGUCCAGCCCCCCUCUCCAGCACUCCCCCGACACUCAACAUGCAAAGUGUGCUGAAGUCACACCAGCUCCCAGGCUUUCUUGAGACCUUUGAGGUGGCACUCAUAAAACAGCUGCAGACCAGCUUGCUGCAGCUGCCCCCAGGUCUGGAUCUGUGCGUGCCAGGAAGGGUGCAGGAGAAUUAACCAUGGGGACAUGCAUGUGGUUAAAGGGACUUCCCAGGCUGAUCUGCUCCAGGUGUGGAAAUUACACAGACCAGCAGUCUGAGCUCUGGGUACUCCUGUGGUCCUUGUUGCUGCAUCCUCAGAACAGCAGUCAGCUUGCUUUGGCACGGAAACCUCUGCUUCUGCGCUCCAGGCUGGGUGCAUUUUCUUUUCCUCCCUUGUGCUUGGUAUUUAAACCAGCUCCUCUCCCCAGCUCCCAGCCCAGCCCAGGCUGACAGUGAAAACUCACUGCCAUUCUGAGAAACAAGGGAAUGCUCGGAGUCUGCAGGGAGAACCCAUGCUCUCCGAGGAACAUCGAGCCUUCUCUCAACAGCGAUGCUCUUUUUGGCUUGGUUUUCCCGCUCAGAUGAGCUCUCCCGACACAAGCGCUCCCACUCCGGUGUCAAGCCAUACCAGUGUGCCGCUUGCGAGAAGAAGUUUGCCCGCAGUGACCAUUUAGCCAAAC